GGGGAGGAAACGACAGACCGCGAAGAAGCGCGGGCGCGAAAUACUAUUGCGCACAGAAAAUCGAUACAAGAAAAUGUAUUUUAAUUCCAACGAAAAGGCCAAGCAACCGACCAACCGGGCGGCGAGAGCGAGUUUUGGUUGCGAUUUUCAGGGGGAAAAAAGAAUUGCCAAACAAACGACAGAAAGACGAAGAAUGAACGCUUUCCCAGGAAGCGUCCUUGUUGUUCCACCGUAGCAGGCGUUCUCCUUUCGAGAUAAAGUGCAUUUCCUUCUCCAACUGCACGGUUCACGUCUCCUUGGUGAAGGCAUUUUCCAAGUGGCCUUCAACCUCCACACUAAGCCUUUCGGUUUCAAUUUUUCACCUCGAGGUGGAGAUUUAAAAAUUUUAUCGCAAAAAAUCGCUUUAAAAGUCGCUUUCGGGAGGAUUUGCUCCUUCGAACAGCGCAAAAACGUACACAUCCACGUGGCACUGGGUAAGCGACACGGCAAGGAAAAGCACACCCAUACAUACGAGAGAAUGAUGACGACGACCGUUGGGCCACACACUGUCAAUCUCGACAGCAGCAUCCUUCGCCCGCUGCCUUUGAUCGUUUCUACGUGGUCGCCGUCGCCGCCGUCUCCACGCCAAGGCGGAGGUCUUUCCCUCUGAAAUAGUGUUUUUCACCCUUCUCCUCCUCCCCAGCACACUUCUUUCUUCUUGCUGCCUGCUAAAGGCAAUCAAUAUUUUGCGCCACCAGCGACACCACCACCACCACCACAAAACGGUGGAAAGAAGAAAAAUGCUGCCAGCUUCGCGUAUUCGCGUUAGUGUUUUCCACACGUCCACACAGCUUCGCAUGGUGUGUGUGUCCCUGUUUAUCCCUCUCUCUUUCUCUUUCUUGGGCUAUUAAGGAGGGCGAAAUAUGCAAGGUCCUUCGAGGCCCAGCCUCACCUGGGAGAGAUUUAGCUUCGCCUUGGAGGUCAUUUUCCUUUCCAGAUUGGACGACUGUAAUACAUUUUCCCGCACGGUGUUGUUUUGCUGUAACGGAAGUCUGUAACAAUAUUUCCUUCUUACCGUGUUUUUCGCACCACCCUUCCUUAUUUAUUUGCCCUUCAAACUCAUCCUUAAUAGCAGCAGAAGCACGCCAGCCCAGCCCGGCAGCAGCCAGCAUGUGCCACUAAUAGAAAGUCAUCGAACCACAACAAACCAAAUACGACUAAAACCAUUAUAUCCCUGUAUACCCUGCCCAUGUCUUCUGUCUCCUUGCAACAUCACUCCCCAUUCAUUAAAACCGUUUUAUGUGUUUUAAGUAGCAACCAUACCCAUACCCCACGGGACUGACUUCUUGCCAUCUCCAGGCUAUACAGUCACCAGCAGCGCAAGAUGAAACGCUGACCCCCCGGCGGGAGGGUCCUCCGAGUCUGGCAGCACGAAGCCACGCAGCAGCAAGAGCGAACGCCUUUCUCCACCAAACAAAAGGGACCUGGGCGAAAAAGGGAUACGGGAUCCCUUCACGUAGCAGUGUACUACCGGAGCAACGUGCGGGGAAUUGUUGUGUCUGGCAAAAACAGCGCAGCAAAAGUAUUCCACAAUCCGGAAUCGUUCGCAAAGAAUGCCAUAAAAGUAAGCGCUCUAAGGACGACGACGACGACGACAGCGAUGAUGAUGAUGCCGUCUACCAUUUCCCGGUGCGCCGCCGGUACUCUGUGUGUGUGUGUGUGUACGAAAGUUAGAAAUCCGACAAACGGCGGUACGAUAUUGGAAGCUGAUGCUUUAGGGACAGCGCCGUGAAAGGCUACGACGAUUACGUUUACGACUUCUGCCGCUGUUACUACUACUACUACUGCUGCUGCUGCUAUGCCGUUGGCAAGGCCGCUGCUACUUGAGGUUGACGGUUGCCGUACCGUCGUCAACGGGAUCUCGCCGGUCGGUUGGUAUGCUCUUGAGGUUUUUUGGCAAACGACAUCGUCGCCGUACACCGCGUCGUUUUGACUUUGCCGGAUGGGUAUGGGUGAGGUGAGGGAAAACUGAUUGUCUCGUCUGGUUGCCGCGUGCUUUCGCUUUCGUGCUCGCACAACUGGGCAGAGCGAGGGGGGGGGGGGGGGUACAAAACAUCGUUCGCCGGAUGUCCCAAUGGCAAUCAUAUGAUCCUGGGCGUAGAGUAAGCUCGUUGAUUUCCGGCGCCAUUCAUGGUCGCUCUUCAAAACGAGACCCCGAACAUGAUUACCAAAAUCGUUGUUGAGGCAGAUCGGGCGCGCUCAUUCAAGGCCAAGGAGAUAUCCCUUUUCAGCCGAGUUUACGGAUUCGAAGGACGCACCACAAACUCGGGUUGACAUUAUCCUUUUUUUUUUGCUUUAAUUUAACUCCUCCUUUACUACCAUCACUGCUACUCCUGCUACUACUACGGGGGAAGUUUCUACUUUGGGUGAAAGUAUUUGUAAGUAAGAUUUCGUGUAUUCUUACCCCGCCACCACGUCCUCGUCCGCGACCACGCUUUCCAUCAGCACGGACGGCCUGUCCGUUAGCGUCGUACGACACGAUCUAAAGCGGGUGAUGAUGAUGAUGGUUAACCGGAAAGAAGGCCGCAAUUCGCGAAUGUGCAAUAGAAAAGGGUUUGCAGGAGACGCAAUGUAUUUGAAUGUUUUCAGUAGUGUGCAGUUGGGAUUGGAGUGUGAAAAAGGGAAAGAGAAAAAAGAGAAGAGAGAACAAGUGAAGGGAAAAAUGAUGUUAAUGAGUAUGAUAUCGACGUUGCGGCGUAGAGAACACAGAACACGGUGCUAGCUAACACAAAUACUCAUUUCGCUCUAAAGGAAACUUUCAAAUACGGUAGGUGGAAACAUUCUACAAAAAUCAACAGAAAAGUACUCAGAAAAGCUUACAAAAACAAUACAAUUUACUUUAAAUCUAGCGCGUAAACUACACACUGCAUACAGUCUCUAACAUACACUCUCAGCUACAGUGACUGUAUCCUGGUCACGGCACCAAUCGAUCGUUACAUUUCUUAUUACAAUGAUCCAAUAUGCCUUCUUCUUUCGACAUAGCAAUUAUGUUGGAAAGAGAACCUUAUAUUACAUUCAGUUCUGUACAAUAAAAACAUGUUAAUUUAAUUUUCCAUCUCACGACAGCAAAUUAGAUCCGUUAUUUAAUGACGGCGGUCUCAAUCAAUCAAUUUAUGUCCUCCGAUUCCGAUCAGCAAAUUUAUGUCGAUACUAUUGCUUGCUUUCUGCAGCAACAACAAGGCCAACCCCCUUACUCGUCGGGUUGCGUUGCAAUUGUACUGUACGAUCUCGUCCAAUUCCUUCGUUUAAAAAAAAAGCAUUCCUCCACCACAACCCGCGGGCUAUGUUCCGCUUGUUUUGCACGGGUUUGGUGUUUUUUUUUUUUUUGCUACAGCGUGCUCUGCUCGGCUGCUCCACCGAAAUGCUCCUUAUCUUCAUCCUCUAAUAAGUGAUCGGACCAUGCGAAACAUAAACUAGACUUUCACUCGCACACAGUCUGUCGCGUUACCCUCCUCCUCGUCACACACACACACACAGGCUUCACUAUUUCCCGUCUUUCGUUUCGGCAUUACAACGGUAUUUCCCCACAGAAAAAGCAGAAAAAAGGAGGGAUUCAAUGGAUGGAUCGGCAAUGCGAUUAAUUUAUAUGCAAAAUAAAUUUAACUUAUCUCAUGUGAA
Anopheles gambiae (African malaria mosquito) is the source of this 3657-nucleotide long non-coding RNA. RefSeq lists it as uncharacterized. NCBI's taxonomy places the organism in Eukaryota, Metazoa, Arthropoda, Insecta, Diptera, Culicidae. The transcript has 2 exons. The record is from RefSeq and is a predicted model, not a curated record.